UGCAUGAAGUCGGAAUUGCUAGUAAUCGCGGAUCAGCAUGCCGCGGUGAAUACGUUCCCGGGCCUUGUACACACCGCCCGUCACACCAUGAGAGCCGGGGGGACCCGAAGUCCGUAGCCUAACCGCAAGGGGGGCGCGGCCGAAGGUAAAACUGGUGAUUGGGGUGAAGUCGUAACAAGGUACC
RNAcentral lists this ribosomal RNA (184 nucleotides) under uncultured bacterium. Its description in RNAcentral is "partial 16S ribosomal RNA". It matches the Rfam family "Bacterial small subunit ribosomal RNA", at positions 1317 to 1500 of the family's 1533-position model. The record is from RNAcentral.